Pongo pygmaeus (Bornean orangutan) is the source of this 1520-nucleotide long non-coding RNA. RefSeq lists it as uncharacterized. Lineage: Eukaryota; Metazoa; Chordata; Mammalia; Primates; Hominidae. The transcript is spliced from 3 exons. The record is from RefSeq and is a predicted model, not a curated record.
CAAUGAUUUAGGACUGGGAAUGGAGAGCUAGUAGGUGGGGCUAGAAUCGGCACCUGCGGAAAAUCCGACCAAUGAGGAGCGAACGACACAGCGGCCAUCUUGGUAAAGGAAAAGGAACAAGGAAGAAAGUGGAACCAAUUACCAAGCUAAGACAGGGUCUUGCGGUGUCACCCAGGCUGUCACAGGAGUGCAGUGGCGUGAUCAUAGCUCACUGUGGUCUCCAACUUCUGGGCUCAAGCGAUCUUCCUGCCUCUGCCUCCCAAAGUACUGGGAUUACUGGCAUAUGCCACCGCACCCAGAUGAGACUAACUUUUUAAUGUCAAAAACCUAUAAAAUAUUCGGAAAAAAAGCGUUUAAUCUCCAAGAGCCGCUAUGCAAAAGCACUGGAGACACAAAGAUCUGUAUGACACUGUUCCUGCCCUGAGACGGGGACAAGCUGGAGUUGGAAUUACCCAAUGAAGUUGUUCUUAAGAAGGCUACUGUAAAACCAGUAACAUGAAGGUGAAUCUGUGGUUUGGAGCUCCCCCUACAGUUUGUUUGAAGACUGUUCUCUCUCAUCUCCAAGAAAAAUGACCACUUUGGAAAAUGAGUUCUUACACAUGCUUGGAAAUAUUUUUAAUGUGUAUAUAUUAUUUAAAUUUAUGUUUAAAUGUGUACAUGAGGAAUUCGUUUUAUGCUAGACAUAUUUUUUUCUUUUGUUACCUGCUUUCUAGCUGUGGACUGUAUAAUUUAUUUUCCAAUAAGUCAAAGUCUUUGUUUUAGGUCAGAGUGCCAUUUUCAAGGUUGCUAAUUUCAGCAAGAGUUAAAUGUCACGUGAAACUUUAUGGCUAUUUGAGAAUUGGACAUUUUGAAUGAGAGAUUUUAUCAUUUUAUGUUUGGUUUACAUAUUUCUUUUCAAAUAUAGGGCCUGAAUUAUGACCAAGCACUAUACCUUUUAAUGAGGGAUAAAGAAUUGCAUGCCACUAUGUGCGUACUCUGAAAAAUACUCAUUUAGUUAGUCAUUUGACAAAUAUUGAUUGUCAUCUAUGUGCCAGAUACUGUUUAAGGCAUUAGGCACAUAUCAAUGAACAAAGCAGACAAAAAUGUCCCUGCCCUUGGGGAUCUUGUAGUUUAGUGAUGGAUGAAGGAGUGGUGGAUUAUAAAAAUUAUCAUGAUAAAGAAGUCAAUUACAUAGUGUAUUAGAAGGUUCAAAGUACUGUGAAAGCAAUGGGCCCUGGCACAGGAAAUCAGAUUGAAGGAAGGGAGAAGCAGUGAGGCAACUGCAAUUCCAAAUAGUGUGGUCAAGGAAACUCCCAUUGAAAAGAUUUGAGAAAAGACUUGGAGGUAAGAAGAGCUUUCCAGGCAGGGAAUAGCAAGUGCAGAGGCCUUGAAUCAGGAGCUUGCUGGUGCAUUCAAGGCACAGUAAGGGGGCUCAGCGUGCCUAGAGUGGAGUGAAGGGGAGUGUAGCAGUAAAUCAUGUAGGGCAAGAGUCAGCAAACCAGUGCAGCCUGUUUUUGUAAAUAAAGUUUUAUUGGAACAUG